RNAcentral lists this ribosomal RNA (473 nucleotides) under uncultured organism. RNAcentral describes it as "partial 16S ribosomal RNA". It matches the Rfam family "Bacterial small subunit ribosomal RNA", at positions 332 to 797 of the family's 1533-position model. The record is from RNAcentral.
UACACUCCUACGGGAAGCAGCAGUGGGGAAUUUUGGACAAUGGGCGAAAGCCUGAUCCAGCAAUGCCGCGUGAGUGAAGAAGGCCUUCGGGUUGUAAAGCUCUUUUGUCAGGGAAGAAACGGUGAGAGCUAAUAUCUUUUGCUAAUGACGGUACCUGAAGAAUAAGCACCGGCUAACUACGUGCCAGCAGCCGCGGUAAUACGUAGGGUGCAAGCGUUAAUCGGAAUUACUGGGCGUAAAGCGUGCGCAGGCGGUUUUGUAAGUCUGAUGUGAAAUCCCCGGGCUCAACCUGGGAAUUGCAUUGGAGACUGCAAGGCUAGAAUCUGGCAGAGGGGGGUAGAAUUCCACGUGUAGCAGUGAAAUGCGUAGAUAUGUGGAGGAACACCGAUGGCGAAGGCAGCCCCCUGGGUCAAGAUUGACGCUCAUGCACGAAAGCGUGGGGAGCAAACAGGAUUAGAUACCCGAGUAGUCCC